This 541-nucleotide ribosomal RNA is filed under the name uncultured bacterium. RNAcentral describes it as "bacterial SSU rRNA". It matches the Rfam family "Bacterial small subunit ribosomal RNA", at positions 774 to 1310 of the family's 1533-position model. The record is from RNAcentral.
AGAGAAUAGAUACCCGGGUAGUCCACGCCGUAAACUAUGCAUACAAGCUGUAGUGGAAUUUUACUUCUGCUGUGGCGAAAGCUAACGCAAUUAGUAUGCCGCCUGGGGAGUACGGUCGCAAGACUAAAACUCAAAGGAAUUGACGGGGGCCCGCACAAGCGGUGGAUUAUGUGGUUUAAUUCGAAGCAACGCGCAGAACCUUACCUAGGCUUGACAUCCCACGACAUCCGUAGAAAUACGGCUUUGUAGCAAUACACGUGGAGACAGGUGCUGCAUGGCUGUCGUCAGCUCGUGUUGUGAAAUGUUGGGUUAAAGUCCCGCAACGAGCGCAACCCCUGGAUUUAGUUGCCAGCAUUAAGUUGGGCACUCUAAAUUAACUGCCAGCGUUAAGCUGGAGGAAGGUGGGGAUGACGUCAAGUCCUCAUGGCCCUUACGCCUAGGGCUACACACGUAAUACAAUGGAUGGGACAAAGGGUUCGCCAACUCGCAAGAGGGAGCUAAUCUCAAAAACCCAUCCUCAGUUCGGAUUGGGGGUCUGCAA